Felis catus (domestic cat) is the source of this 2396-nucleotide long non-coding RNA. RefSeq lists it as uncharacterized. Lineage: Eukaryota; Metazoa; Chordata; Mammalia; Carnivora; Felidae. The record is from RefSeq and is a predicted model, not a curated record. The transcript is spliced from 2 exons.
AGCCCGACGCGGGGCUCGAACCCACGAACGGUGAGAUCGUGACCUGAACUGAAGUUGGAUGCUUAACCGACUGAGCCACCCAGGUGCCCCUAAGUUUUUAUUAUUUUUAAGUAAUCUCUGCACCCACUGGGGCUCAGACUUAAUAACCCAGACAUCAGGAGUCCCACGCUCCACCGACUGAGCCAGCCCUAUCAUAGAAGUCUUUGUAAAAUGAGUCAAGACUAUUAUUCUGUCACGAUGUGGCUUUGGUAUCUCAACCUGGUACUUAGCAACGUCAGUAUUAUUCAAUGCAUUAAAUUUUUGUUAGGAAGAGGUAGUUUUCAGGAUCUCAGGUAUCCCUGGGGAGGGUGUGUUUCUAUCCCUGGCUCCUUUCCUAACUCUCCUUCAGCAUUCUGACAGUCGCAAGCGGGCCUGGGACUUGGGUGGGUGAGGGAGAGAUCAGGAAAGAGCACAGUGCUUGGAGUCAGGACACUUAGCUGAUCCACCUCGGGUGAGUUGUGUAACUUUGCUGCCCUGUAGUCACUCCGUCUUGUAAGUACGUACAGAAAAUGACCUCAGCCUACCUGUUGAGUUGUUGUGGGAGUCAAACAAGGUAACAGAUACAGCAAACGUUUGGGAAAAUGCUGUCAAAAGAUUUCAAAAUGGAUUUAAGAAAAUUUUAUUUGUCUUUCUUUAUUUUUGAGAGAGACAAAGCAUGAGAGGGGGAGGGGUAGAGAGAGAGGGAGACACAGAAUCCGAAGCAGGCUCCGGGCUCUGAGCUGUCAGCACAGAGCCGACCGGGGACUCAAACCCGCAAACCACGAGAUCGUGACCUGAGCCAAAGUCAGAUGCUUAACUGAUGAGCCACCCAUGCACCCCUCAAAGUAGAUCUUCAGCCCGCCAUCAUUUCAAAAAGGAUUUGAGGCAACUAAGUGCCAAGAUGUAAGAUGGUUUUCCUGUUCUUACCAGUCCUGAGCCGUAGACCCCGUGGUCACUCUCCCAUGUGACUGUGUUCCCGUGCCCCCGGCCCCCAGACAGGCAGCUCCUUAUCGUCGGUCCUCGGUGAGGGGGAGUUUCUGACACCUGCUCGCUAGCGAAGGCAAGCUAACCUGGCAGUCCUGCCCGCUGUUCGCUCCGGUUCCGCGCUCCCGUUUCCUCCGCAAACAUCUCCUCCUGCCGGGAGCCUGCAGGGCGCACCUGUAAGCGGCAGGGGGUGGGCGCGUUGAGCGGCCCUGAGCCCAAAGGACCUAAGAGCAAAGACAGGCUCCUGCAUUGCCACGGGAACCCUCACGCUCAAAAGCGAACAGGCGGAAGCAUUCAUGUCCCUCAGCCGGAAACAGGCCUUUCCCGUGCUGUCCCCGAGACCCAUGGGGUGUAAAUCAGGGCGUCCCAGGAAAGUUUCCAAAGCACCCAAAUCCACCCAGGAAACUAGACGCGUUCUUUUCCAACCACACAAGUGGGAUAGACCGCUUGGAGCCGCCUGCAUGGACUUUGGCAGCAGGUCGCGUUGAAAAACCACUUACAACACCAAGCCUUGUGUGCAAAGCUAUUCCCUGAAGCGCCGUGUGCAAAAGCAAAAAGAAUGUGGUAAUAGCUGUGCUGAUCUGAAAGUAUCAGGAUACGUACGCUAUUAAGGAAAAAAUGCGUGUAGCAAAACUGCGUAAUCUGCUUCCUUUUAGGGCGCCUGGGGGGCUCCAUCGGUUGAGCAUCCGACUCAGGUCUUGAGAUUGAGCCCUGCGACAGGCCCCGUGCCGAGCCGCGGAGCCCAGUGUGGGGCUCGAACUCACAAAUGGCGAGAUCAUAACCACGAGUCGGCCGCUUUACUGACUGAGCCACACAGGCUCCCCAAGAAAAGCCUAAACCUUCGGGUGGAAGGACUCCAGCGGUGGGAAGGCACUAUUUUCUCCAUCUGAUCCUUCGGUUUGCAUUUUCUAACUAUGAGUAUUUUUUUAAGUGUCAUUUGGAUUUUGCUUUCUUUUGUGUGUGUGUGUUAAUGCAUGUUUUUAAGGUACUCAUGUGUUUUAAAAUACCCUCAAAAACCAUCAAAAUAUUCACGACAAUUUAGUCAUGAUGAAAACAUGCCGGAUAAAGCAGUGUGGUGCAUAUUUAAUUGACAUGAAAUCUAUACAUUCUUUACGUCUCCUUUUCAUCACCUGUGUCUUCUGUGUGCCCAGACUGCUAACUGAAUGUACCCACCCCUUUCUCUCAUUUGGUUAAAUUCAUCUGGGGAAUAAAGGGCAAAAAGACACUCCUAUUUAUUAACUUUGAAAAGUAGCUAAAUAAUUCACGGCCCCUGGAGUCUGCAUGGUAGACAGCAAGCCCUUUGGGCAGCAUUCCUCAUUCUUAGUGUCAUAUGUGCUGUUUGUUCGCUUCUCUGGCAUUAUGAUCAUUGAAGAACAGUCCAUGGUAAAACACAA